CCCGAGAGCUCGGGACGAAAUGUGGGCCGGCGUCGACCGUCGCCCGAAUCGCAAG
The submitters of this non-coding RNA (55 nucleotides) gave its source as unclassified sequences. The record is from Rfam.